UAGGGAAUCUUCCACAAUGGACGCAAGUCUGAUGGAGCAACGCCGCGUGAGUGAAGAAGGCUUUCGGGUCGUAAAACUCUGUUAUUGAAGAAGAACGUGUGUGGCAGUAACUGGUCAUGCAGUGACGGUAUUCAAUCAGAAAGUCACGGCUAACUACGUGCCAGCAGCCGCGGUAAUACGUAGGUGGCAAGCGUUGUCCGGAUUUAUUGGGCGUAAAGCGAGUGCAGGCGGUCUUUUAAGUCUGAUGUGAAAGCCUUCGGCUUAACCGAAGAAGGGCAUCGGAAACUGGGAGACUUGAGUGCAGAAGAGGAGAGUGGAACUCCAUGUGUAGCGGUGAAAUGCGUAGAUAUAUGGAAGAACACCAGUGGCGAAGGCGGCUCUCUGGUCUGUAACUGACGCUGGAGGCUACGAAAGCGUGGGUAGC
Molecule: ribosomal RNA, 424 nt
Filed under: uncultured bacterium
Lineage: Bacteria
Description: partial 16S ribosomal RNA
Rfam family: Bacterial small subunit ribosomal RNA
Source: RNAcentral